RNAcentral lists this non-coding RNA (30 nucleotides) under Rattus norvegicus (Norway rat). Lineage: Eukaryota; Metazoa; Chordata; Mammalia; Rodentia; Muridae. The record is from RNAcentral.
UCCUAGUGCAUUCUUGAACUUGGUUUCCAU